Bos taurus (domestic cattle) is the source of this 503-nucleotide long non-coding RNA. Lineage: Eukaryota; Metazoa; Chordata; Mammalia; Artiodactyla; Bovidae. The record is from Ensembl.
UGAACAUUCACGACAUACACUCGCUCUGUGGUCUGUGGCUUAGACUUCAGCCUUUCAGGUGGGUCAUUCGGGUGACCCUGACUUGAGCAGACACAGCUCUGUGGCCCUGCCAUAAGCCAUCCCAUCCCAGUUGGAGAGAGAGGCAGCUGGACUGAAGGACAGGGCAGAGCCGACGGCCUGAAGGUGAGGUUGCUGCUGAGCCCAGGGGUUGAGAGCGCCGGUUCCUGCUGUGGUCCCGGAGCUCCUCCUGAGACCUGAGGGAAGCCGUCUGCCUAGUACAUCAUGAGAAACGACUGGAAGAAACACAAGCUGGAAUCAAGAUUGCCGGGAGAAAUAUCAAUAACCUCAGAUAUGCAGAUGACACCACCCUUAUGGCAGAAAGUGAAGAGGAUCUCAAAAGCCUCUUGAUGAAAGUGAAAGUGGAGAGUGAAAAAGUUGGCUUAAAGCUCAACAUUCAGAAAACGAAGAUCAUGGCAUCCGGUCCCACCACUUCAUGGGAAAUA